Molecule: ribosomal RNA, 492 nt
Filed under: uncultured bacterium
Lineage: Bacteria
Description: partial 16S ribosomal RNA
Rfam family: Bacterial small subunit ribosomal RNA
Source: RNAcentral
AGUGAACGCUGGCGGUAGGCCUAACACAUGCAAGUCGAACGGCAGCACAGUAAGAGCUUGCUCUUACGGGUGGCGAGUGGCGGACGGGUGAGGAAUACAUCGGAAUCUACUUUUUCGUGGGGGAUAACGUAGGGAGACUUACGCUAAUACCGCAUACGACCUACGGGUGAAAGCAGGGGAUCUUCGGACCUUGCGCGAUUGAAUGAGCCGAUGUCGGAUUAGCUAGUUGGCGGGGUAAAGGCCCACCAAGGCGACGAUCCGUAGCUGGUCUGAGAGGAUGAUCGGCCACACUGGAACUGAGACACGGUCCAGACUCCUACGGGAGGCAGCAGUGGGGAAUAUUGGACAAUGGGCGCAAGCCUGAUCCAGCCAUACCGCGUGGGUGAAGAAGGCCUUCGGGUUGUAAAGCCCUUUUGUUGGGAAAGAAAAGCAGCAGGUUAAUACCCCGCUGUUCUGACGGUACCCAAAGAAUAAGCACCGGCUAACUUCGUG